This 373-nucleotide unclassified non-coding RNA is filed under the name Hevea brasiliensis (rubber tree). Lineage: Eukaryota; Viridiplantae; Streptophyta; Magnoliopsida; Malpighiales; Euphorbiaceae. The record is from RNAcentral.
GCUUGAAGAAAAGUGCAUAAUGUCCACCUUUUUGGUGUAGAUAUACAGUUGGCAGUGGCGAAAUUACUUAGAUGCCCAUGCCACAUGUCUCCCCACGUGGAACAUCUUAGUUAUUUCACCCUUGCCACAUGUUUAUGUGCAUAAAAAAGGUGUAGACAUUGUUUACAUGUAGCGUUGCUUUCUUUAAACAGUUAACAAUGCUGAUGUUGCUGAACUGAUGAUUAUUUAGAAAUUCCAUGGCAAAAAUAAUUUUUGCAAGCAAAUGGUUAAGUUCUGCAAAUAAUGACAUUCCUGAAAUUCUGUUUGCACCUUUCUCCCUUUUAAUGGGGUUAUUUUGCCGUCCUCUGCAAUAUUCUUGAUUGAUAUGAAGGUG